This 484-nucleotide ribosomal RNA is filed under the name uncultured bacterium. Its description in RNAcentral is "partial 16S ribosomal RNA". It matches the Rfam family "Bacterial small subunit ribosomal RNA", at positions 30 to 507 of the family's 1533-position model. The record is from RNAcentral.
AUUGAACGCUGGCGGCAGGCCUAACACAUGCAAGUCGAGCGGAUGAAGGGAGCUUUCUCCUGGAUUCAGCGGCGGACGGGUGAGUAAUGCCUAGGAAUCUGCCUUGUAGUUGGGGAUAACGUCCGGAAACGGGCGCUAAUACCGCAUACGUCCUGAUUGAGAAAGUGGUGGAUCUUCGGACCUCACGCUAUCAGAUGAGCCUAGGUCGGAUUAGCUAGUUGGUGGGGUAAAGGCCUACCAAGGCGACGAUCCGUAACUGGUCUGAGAGGAUGAUCAGUCACACUGGAACUGAGACACGGUCCAGACUCCUACGGGAGGCAGCAGUGGGGAAUAUUGGACAAAGGGCGAAAGCCUGAUCCAGCCAUGCCGCGUGUGUGAAGAAGGUCUUCGGAUUGUAAAGCACUUUAAGUUGGGAGGAAGGGAAGUAAGUUAAUACCUGGCUGUUUUGACGGUACCAACAGAAUAAGCAACGGCUAACUUCGUG